This 720-nucleotide long non-coding RNA is filed under the name Homo sapiens (human). RNAcentral describes it as "PREDICTED lncRNA (TCONS_00027691)". The record is from RNAcentral. Lineage: Eukaryota; Metazoa; Chordata; Mammalia; Primates; Hominidae.
GAGGGACAAGGGCUGGUUCUGUUCUCAUUGUUUCACUAGCUAUGGAUAGUUCUAGGUUUUGGCUCACAGUCCAGUUUUUGUUAAGGUGCUGAUGGAACACUUGCCAAUGGCCCGGUUCAGUGCUGAAUAGGAAGAAGAGCUGGCCAACUUGAGUUAUUACAUCUCUGCCACUCAAGGUGAUGUCAGAACAUGUUCCUUGGACCCAUUCAAGCCUGCUGUGGCACACUGAGAAGAGUUUGUGCCUGGACCAGAGGAAAACACAGAGGAGAGGGACACACAACCCCUUGAUUAUUUGAUUCCUCUCCUUGAAUGGAGGAGACAGAGUUCUCAAAGGACCAGAGGCAGCAGUAUUCCAAAGGGCAGAGCUAAGGUCAAGUACAGAGAAGGAAGGGGACAUUCAAGGCAAGAAGGCAGAGGGUCACAAAUGGAAGAAAGCAGCAACUGGCUGAGAAGUGGGGACUAGGAAGCAAGAGGAAAAAGACUUCAACCUGGAGGCUGGCGAGCCCUGCCAAAGAGCCUGAACCUGUUCUGACUGCUGCCUCUUCCCUGAAGCUAGGCAAGAUUUUCAGGUGUAAAUGCCCAGGGCCUGGUUGCACCCCAGUUUGGCUCUGCUAAAGGUGAAGGCUGGCUCACUUAUGUCUGAGACAUUGGUCUGAGCCCACAUGGCCACAGCAUGAGAAGAGUGGUCCAUGUGGGCUGGGAAGCCCUAUGUGUCCUGGA